This 867-nucleotide ribosomal RNA is filed under the name Rana chaochiaoensis. Its description in RNAcentral is "partial 16S ribosomal RNA". The stretch from base 175 to 648 matches the Rfam family "Bacterial large subunit ribosomal RNA", at positions 573 to 1301 of the family's 2925-position model. Lineage: Eukaryota; Metazoa; Chordata; Amphibia; Anura; Ranidae. The record is from RNAcentral.
GCCUGAAAUCUAGCCCACAAAUUCAUAUGCCCUCACACUACCCAAACAAGCAAGCAAAACAAAACAUUUUAACAAUUUAGUACAGGCGAUCGAAAAACUUCUAAGCGCUUCAGAUAAAGUACCGCAAGGGAAAUAUGAAAUAGAAAUGAAACAAUCCUAAAGCCCCAAAUAGCAGAGACACCACCUCGUACCUUUUGCAUCAUGGUCUAGCCAGUCUACCCAAGCAAAAUGAAAUUUUCAGUUUGACUCCCCGAAACCAAGCGAGCUACUUCAGAACAGCCAAAAGGGCCAACCCGUCUCUGUUGCAAAAGAGUGGGAAGAUUCUCAAGUAGAGGUGAUAAGCCUACCGAGCUAGGAGAUAGCUGAUUGUUCAAGAAAAGAGUUUUAGCUCAACCUUAAGUUUUUUUAUUAAACUAAACAGACCCUCAGACUUAAGAGCUAUUCAAAUAAGGCACAGCUUAUUUGAAAUAGGAUACAACCUACGACAUAGGGUAAACAAGAGUUACUUAAAUAAAGUGGGCCUAAAAGCAGCCAUCUUUAAAAAAGCGUUAAAGCUUAACUACCCUCUACUCACAAUACCUAAAACCUUCACUAACCCCUCACUACUAUUGAACAAUUUUAUACUUAUAUAAAAGCUAUUAUGCUAGAACUAGUAACAAGAAAUUGCCCUUCUCCUAAAUGUAAGCAUACACCAAAAUAAACUCUGUUGGUCAUUAACGUAAAUGCUAAACUAUAGUAACACUCACUAGAAAACCCUAUAACUCCCAACGUUAACCUUACACCAGAACAUUACAGGAAAGAUUAAAAGAAAAAGAAGGAACUCGGCAAAUCUUAGCCUCGCCUGUUUACCAAAAACAUCGCCUCUUG